RNAcentral lists this ribosomal RNA (682 nucleotides) under uncultured Pasteurella sp. RNAcentral's name for it is "bacterial SSU rRNA". It matches the Rfam family "Bacterial small subunit ribosomal RNA", at positions 88 to 766 of the family's 1533-position model. The record is from RNAcentral. Lineage: Bacteria; Pseudomonadati; Pseudomonadota; Gammaproteobacteria; Pasteurellales; Pasteurellaceae.
CUGACGAGUGGCGGACGGGUGAGUAAUGCUUGGGAAUCUGGCUUAUGGAGGGGGAUAACUGUGGGAAACUGCAGCUAAUACCGCGUAUUCUCUGAGGAGGAAAGGGUGGGACCUUAGGGCCACCUGCCAUAAGAUGAGCCCAAGUGGGAUUAGGUAGUUGGUGGGGUAAAGGCCUACCAAGCCUGCGAUCUCUAGCUGGUCUGAGAGGAUGACCAGCCACACUGGAACUGAGACACGGUCCAGACUCCUACGGGAGGCAGCAGUGGGGAAUAUUGCGCAAUGGGGGGAACCCUGACGCAGCCAUGCCGCGUGAAUGAAGAAGGCCUUCGGGUUGUAAAGUUCUUUCGGUAAUGAGGAAGGGAUGUUGUUAAAUAGAUAGCAUCAUUGACGUUAAUUACAGAAGAAGCACCGGCUAACUCCGUGCCAGCAGCCGCGGUAAUACGGAGGGUGCGAGCGUUAAUCGGAAUAACUGGGCGUAAAGGGCACGCAGGCGGACUUUUAAGUGAGAUGUGAAAUCCCCGAGCUUAACUUGGGAACUGCAUUUCAGACUGGGAGUCUAGAGUACUUUAGGGAGGGGUAGAAUUCCACGUGUAGCGGUGAAAUGCGUAGAGAUGUGGAGGAAUACCGAAGGCGAAAGCAGCCCCUUGGGAAUGUACUGACGCUCAUGUGCGAAAGCGUGGGG